UAGCUCAGUUGGUAGAGCGGAGGACUGUAGAUCCUUAGGUCGCUGGUUCAACUCCGGCU
RNAcentral lists this transfer RNA (59 nucleotides) under Merluccius polli (Benguela hake). RNAcentral's name for it is "tRNA-Tyr". It matches the Rfam family "tRNA", at positions 8 to 63 of the family's 71-position model. From Rfam's summary of the family: Transfer RNA (tRNA) molecules are approximately 80 nucleotides in length. Their secondary structure includes four short double-helical elements and three loops (D, anti-codon, and T loops). The record is from RNAcentral. Lineage: Eukaryota; Metazoa; Chordata; Actinopteri; Gadiformes; Merlucciidae.